GAUGAACGCUGGCGGCGUGCCUAAUACAUGCAAGUCGAGCGAACGGACGAGAAGCUUGCUUCUCUGAUGUUAGCGGCGGACGGGUGAGUAACACGUGGAUAACCUACCUAUAAGACUGGGAUAACUUCGGGAAACCGGAGCUAAUACCGGAUGAUAUUUUGAACCGCAUGGUUCAAAAGUGAAAGACGGUCUUGCUGCCACUUAUAGAUGGAUCCGCGCUGCAUUAGCUAGUUGGUAAGGUAACGGCUUACCAAGGCAACGAUGCAUAGCCGACCUGAGAGGGUGAUCGGCCACACUGGAACGGAGACACGGUCCAGACUCCUACGGGAGGCAGCAGUAGGGAAUCUUCCGCAAAGGGCGAAAGCCUGACGGAGCAACGCCGCGUGAGUGAUGAAGGUCUUCGGAUCGUAAAACUCUGUUAUUAGGGAAGAACAUAUGUGUAAGUAACUGUGCACAUCUUGACGGUACCUAAUCAGAAAGCCACGGCUAACUACGUG
This 497-nucleotide ribosomal RNA is filed under the name uncultured bacterium. RNAcentral describes it as "partial 16S ribosomal RNA". It matches the Rfam family "Bacterial small subunit ribosomal RNA", at positions 28 to 507 of the family's 1533-position model. The record is from RNAcentral.